AACGCAACUUGCGCCCCUUGGCAUUCCGAGGGGCACACCUGUUUGAGUGUCGUGAAUUCCUCCACCUUAGACUUUUGUCAAAAGGCUGGGACUUGGGGGUCUGCGGGUGUCUCUCUUAGAGUGUCCGCUCCCCUUGAAUAGAUCAGUGAAGACCCUCGCGGCCCUCGGCGUGAUAGAUAUCUACGCCACGGGAAGUGAGAAUUCAGGCCUUUGCUUCUAACCGUCCUACCGGGACAACAAACUUUUGAACUUGACCUCAGAUCAGGUGGGACUACCCGCUGAACUUAA
This 288-nucleotide unclassified non-coding RNA is filed under the name uncultured fungus. RNAcentral's name for it is "partial contains 5.8S ribosomal RNA, internal transcribed spacer 2, and large subunit ribosomal RNA". Lineage: Eukaryota; Fungi. The record is from RNAcentral.